Molecule: small nucleolar RNA, 111 nt
Filed under: Ochotona princeps (American pika)
Lineage: Eukaryota; Metazoa; Chordata; Mammalia; Lagomorpha; Ochotonidae
Description: Small nucleolar RNA SNORA74 (ENSOPRG00000022593.1)
Source: RNAcentral
CCCAGCUAUAGGCAAUGGUCUAGGUUGCCUCAUACUUAGGCAAAUGUUACAUUGCUGGGAGAAAAAAAGCCAGUAGCUAGCAGGCAUUCUGGGCCUGGCUAAUGCCAAAUU